UAAACGACUCUCGACAACGGAUAUCUCGGCUCACGCAUCGAUGAAGAACGUAGCAAAAUGCGAUACUUGGUGUGAAUUGCAGAAUCCCGUGAACCAUCGAGUUUUUGAACGCAAGUUGCGCCCGAAGCCAUUCGGCCGAGGGCACGUCUGCCUGGGCGUCACGC
This 164-nucleotide ribosomal RNA is filed under the name Centaurea prolongi. Its description in RNAcentral is "5.8S ribosomal RNA". It matches the Rfam family "5.8S ribosomal RNA". Rfam says of the family: 5.8S ribosomal RNA (5.8S rRNA) is a component of the large subunit of the eukaryotic ribosome. The record is from RNAcentral. Lineage: Eukaryota; Viridiplantae; Streptophyta; Magnoliopsida; Asterales; Asteraceae.